GCCUCCUUAGCUCAGUGGUUAGAGCACUGGUCUUGUAAACGAGGGGUCAUGAGUUCGAAUCUCAUAGGGGGCU
Molecule: transfer RNA, 73 nt
Filed under: Saccoglossus kowalevskii
Lineage: Eukaryota; Metazoa; Hemichordata; Enteropneusta; Harrimaniidae
Description: tRNA-Thr
Rfam family: tRNA
About the family: Transfer RNA (tRNA) molecules are approximately 80 nucleotides in length.
Source: RNAcentral